GGAGCCAUAUCCCAUGUCAAAUAAUGAAUUACAAGUUAUGUUUUUACUUCUUCAAACCACGCUCUUAUCAUGCUUUUCCGUCUUUGCAGCACUUUCAAGCUGAACAACACGACUCUGUCAUGUUUCAGAUACUCCCUUCAACGCCCUAACCUAUCUUCUUCCUACUUCAUAGUUUUUACCUUCAGCAUGACUCUAUAUGCACUAGCCUUUCCAUCCUAGUUUGCCUAUACUCCUUUGCAAAAGAAGCAAGCACAAUAUUGAACUAAGGCAAAAUUUUAUAAAAUUCAUUUGUAUAUAAGAGAUGGACAAAAUUGAAGGGUUCCCGCACUUAAAAUCCAGAGAAAAUUAUAUCAUUUUCAAAGUUACAAACCAAAAAUCCAUUAAACAAGAAAACAAAUUUCCACCAAGAAAUUUGCAAAGCAUACCAAAAUCACUGAAAUUUAACAGUUUAUUAAGCAACACACAAGACUUCAAGAAAAUGUACAUGUAUUUCUGAUGUAAGUGAACCUAGAAAGCCUAAAUCCAACACUAAAAAGAAAAGCUACAUAUGACCGGAGACACAGAGAGCAUGAAAGAAUACAAGGGACAAUGCAAAUUAGAUAAGCUUGAAAGGGAGAGGCCAAGGGGUGGACCUGGGGACCUCAACUUUGUCCUUGAUGCGUUCAAUCUUCUUGUCCUUCUUGGGCCUCGAGUUUCCGUACGAUCCCUUGAAUCUCUUCCCUCUCUUUGUCCUCUUAUCCCCUCUCCCGCACAGGAUUGGCGCCACCCCAACUCUUGUUGCCGGCUGAGCAGCCAACACCCGCCUCGCUACAGCGCCGCACCACUGCAUCGUCGCCAUUACUGUUUUUCACACACAAGCUGAGUGAAAGACGAGAGAUAGGGAGUGGAGGCUAUAGUUGUUAUUUCGAAGUGGUUUCCUAUAUGAUGGACCGGGUCGGGUUAAGACGACGGAUAGACCAAUAUGGGCUUAUGGAAGGCCCAUUUUCAGAGCAGAAGGUUUUUGGAAGGUUGCUGUGACUGGAUACGGUGGAGUUUUAGCUGGUGUGGCUCCAAAUCAAACACGAUGAUCACUGAUCAACAAAAGGAUUUUCUUUCUUCUUCUCUAAUGUCUUUAUAGCAUACCCCUGAGACACAAAGAUUAGUUGAAAAUACAAACCAAAAUUUUGGCAGCUAAAGCAAUGGAGGUGUUAUGCAGGGCCACUGCUUUAACAUGGACUCACUCCAUCUCUCCUCCUUUCCUUCACAUUCCUCAAGCCUUCUCUAAGCUUGAUACGAGGAGAUUAACUGUAUCGUGUGCCUCUGAUAAAACCCAAAAGGGAAGUCAGAUGACUGUAUCGGUAACAGGAGCUACAGGUUUUAUAGGUAGAAGAUUGGUGCAAAGACUGCAUGCAGAUAACCACUAUAUUCAUGUCUUGACACGUUCCAGAUCUAAAGCAGAGUUAAUAUUUCCGGUCAAGGACUUCCCUAGAAUUGUGAUCGCCGAGGAGCCAAAAUGGAAAGACAGCAUUCAAGGCUCAAAUGCUGUUGUAAAUUUGGCUGGAAUGCCUAUCAAUACAAGAUGGUCUCCUGAGGUUAGUAUUGCAGGUUCAUUGGGUAGCCUGCAAAGAAGUUCCAUGCUGCAUGAAGAUACAAUUUGCAUAUUACAUAAAAAUGUCACUUGUUACUAGUUGUUAGAUAAAUGGUGGUUCACAUGAUUUCUCUCACAAUCCUGUAUACAAUCCGCUUUUUUAUGCCAAUACUAGUCUUCUUUUGCAAUUAAAUGACUAUUUCUUGGGAGAUUGAUCUAUUUUUCAUUAGGAUUUGCAUAAAUUUGUUACUGAAAAGCUGAGUGUAAUUUAUCAUAAAUCUUUUUUUUACUGUUAAAGUGAUGCCAUAAAAGGUCAUAUGGGUUUAAUACACCACACAUUUGCAUUUUGUUCACAUGAUACUACAUGAGAAGAAAUUUCUUUAAAAGGUUAUCUAUGGAACAAUGCAGACUCUUACUUUUAUAUAAUAUGGUAAAUUGCAAAAACCCCGACAUUGAAUGAAAUACACACCUGUAUUCUCACUUUUUAAAAAGUGAGUUAAAUAUUCCUUGAUUUUUGAAAAAGAUAUACACAUUAAUCAUUUCAUUACAUUUUAUUCUCUCACCUUUUAGGUAAAAUAAUUUUUUAGAUUAAACGACAUGUUAGUCCAACUUGUUUUAACUUUUUAGGGAUUGAGAAGUAGUUUUACUUGGAAAUCAAAGGAUUGAAAUUUUGUUCAAAGUAAAAACAUAGGAACUAGAGUAUACACUUGUUAGUUGGGAUAUGAACCAUCUUUACAAAUGAUCUAAAUAUUUGUUGUCAUGUACUCGCAAAUAUACAUGACUAACAGUAUAUGAUGCAAAACACAUUUUCUUUUAUCGCUGCAUUUUUCUGCAGUGAAUCUGAAUCAGUACCAUGUAUAGGUGGAAAAUGUCAUGUUCCCAUUUACCCUCAAAAGAAGGCAUACAUAAAUCUAUUACUGUAUUGCAGAUAAAGAAAGAGAUUAAAAAAAGCAGGAUCAGAGUCACCUCAAAGGUAAGGAAUUAUUUUCUUUCUCACUCUCUUAGAAGCUCCUGCCCCACCCCCAAAAGCACACUUUUUCUCCUCACCUGGAAGAAGCAUUACUUAAUCUGAACAUCAAUAAAUAGGUUUAGAAUCUCUCUACAGUUUAUUCAUUUAACCACUUUGACUGAUUUUGAAGGUUAUAGAUUUAAUAAAUGAUUCACCAGAUGAAAUUCGGCCUACAGUUCUGGUCAGUGCAACAGCUGUCGGUUACUACGGUUUGUUCUAACACAACUUCCUCAUUUUUUUGCUUAUCAUGGUUGAUAAAAAAACCUCUUUGUUUCAUUUGCAAUAUUAAUUGAUUCAUCCCGGUCUAUCACCUGUCUUUUAAUAUAAUUCUAGUAAUUUUAAGAAAUUAAAUUGGAAUUUUGAAUUUUAUAGGGAACAGAUCAUGGAACAUUUGCUUUGAUAUGAAGAUUCUAGAAUUUGAUUAUCUAGACUAUGGAUGGUUUAUGGCUCGAGUAACCCUCCUUUGGUUCUUUUCUUUCUGUUUUUCCCCUUUUUGUUCUUUUCCUCCCCAGGAAGUAGUGAAACACAAGUAUUUGAUGAGCGCAGUCCAUCUGGAAAUGACUACUUGGCUGAGGUAAAAUAGAAAUGAUCUAAUGCCUUUAGUUUCUGCAUUAUUUGACUUCCAUAUAAGCUUUUGAAGUUGAUGUUUUGAAUGGCGUGAUGUGAACUACCAAGAUUUCUUUGACUGUUUGACAUCAUAUAGUUACAUAGAUUAAUUACGUCAAAAUAUGUUAAUGUAUUUAGUAUUUAUCAAUUUGUAAGUUUUGUUGAUAACACGACUAACAGCAUAGAAUUUUACCUAUUGGAGAAUUACUUAGAUGUCAUGUAUUCAUCACAAAGUGUUACUGUAGUCUAUGACACCCCCUCUUUUCUUUCUCCUCCUUCCCCCUUGUUUCUAUUAAAGAACAAUCAUGUAUUUUUAAAUCUGUCAAUGGUCGAAAAAAUAUUUCAAUUAUUUAAUAAAGUUUCUGAAUUUUAAUUUUUUUGGUCAAGUUUUAUUCGUCUUGUUUUAUGCAAUAUUUAAUUUUUUAUGUUUUCCACACAGCCAAGGGAGGACGGAAGUGGGGACUAGGGGUGAUAUAUUCAUAUAUUUAUAUUUAUAAGAAAGAAAGAAAUCCACUUUAUUUUAAUUAUUGGCCUCUCAAUAAUAAUUUAUAUUUUUUAUUAUAUUAUAGAUAAUGCGAAAUAUUAACAACACUUAUCUCAUCAAAUAUCCAAUAAAUUUUACUAACAUUGGCUCUCUCAAUUUUUUUUUUUAAUUUAUAGCUUAAGUACUCUAUUAUAGUAUUUUUUGAAUAUAUAAUAUUGGCCUCUCAAAAUAUAUAGAUAAUAAGAGUAAACCAAUUUUUGAAUCAAUUUUUAUGUACAGCAUUGCCCCCCUCAAAAAAGAAAAAAAUUUUCUAGCUCCAUCCCUGCACACAGCUGUAUAUGAUUGGGAAAAUUUUACUUCCAUAGGAUUGUGAUUGACUAGGGGAUGAGGGACUAGGUGAUUACGCCAUAUGGGAGAAUCCUACUCUCCCUUUUGAGUGAAUUGGAAUGAGAUAUGUGCAUUAUUGACAUCAAUAAUUGGAUUGAAGCAUUCUUAUCUGAUUUGCAUGGCAUUUUGGCUUUAACAUACCAACCCUUUGAAUACACUUAUGCAGGAAGUCUAUCAUAAUUCUGUUUACACUUGGUAAUAUCUAUACAUAUGAAAAUGACAAAAGACUCCAAAGCCUCAUGUUGUUCACCUUUGUUCAUAAGGUCUAUAUUGCAAAUGCAUUGCUUGCUGUCAUGCAACUUUCUGUAGACUGAAAUAUUAGAGGCAUAGAUCAAAAUGUAAUAAAAGAUAAAUAAAUAAAUAAAAAGAAGGUUUAUCUAAUGGGAACAAAAUUUCUGAAACAUGAUUUAACCUUAGGUUCCAUCUUUGCAGUCAUGAAAUCUCAAUUUCUUUGAUCUUCUGCUAACAAACUAUGUCUCUUCAGGUCUGUAGAGAAUGGGAAGCAACAGCCCUUAAAGUCAAUAAGGAUGUGAGAUUAGCACUUAUUCGCAUUGGUGUUGUUCUUGGAAAAGAUGGGGGUGCUUUAGGUAUCAUAAUUGAUUUUCCGAGUCCCUAAAUUUUUGUGUUUGGGUGCUUAACAUCUUAAUAUCUAGGAAUAGAGAGAUAGGGAGGGAGAAGAAUAAGUGAUUUUUCGUUCUAGCAGUUUUUACUUGAUAGAUAAUCAGCUUCUAAACAAAAUGGAGACAAUUUCCAAGUGUUAUAAUUUGAAUAUAGGUUUGUUGUGUCAUGAAACACAUCUUGUCAGAGGGAUACUCCUAAAGUCAUUCAGAUUAAUUUGGCCAUUUUUGCUUUAUCAUCUGUAAUACUAUCAGGAAGAAACUCCUUCAAUUGAUUAAAUUCUUUCAAUCAUCUAAGGAAAGCCUUUAUCUCUUAGUUACUUGGGUUGGAUUACAUCUAGUAGAGUGACGAUAUACAAAUCUGUGAGCAAUACACUCUUGGAUAGGUUGCUUUGGUGCUAUAUGCACACUUACAUCUUUGAUCCUUUGCAGCAAAAAUGAUCCCUCUCUUCAUGAUGUUUGCUGGUGGACCCGUGGGCUCAGGACGACAAUGGUAUGUUACUAGUAGUACACAGGAAGAGAGCAACACAUACUACUAAAGUAAAGCAUGAGGCUUUCCUCUUCCAUUUGAAUUAUGAUAUUGCUGCGGCUGCAGGUUUUCUUGGAUUCACUUGGAUGACAUAGUAAACCUAAUCUAUGAAGCUGUAUCAAAUCCUUCUUAUAAAGGAGUAAUCAAUGGAACUGCACC
This 5358-nucleotide unclassified non-coding RNA is filed under the name Hevea brasiliensis (rubber tree). Lineage: Eukaryota; Viridiplantae; Streptophyta; Magnoliopsida; Malpighiales; Euphorbiaceae. The record is from RNAcentral.